CAGCCGUAAACUAUGCGCGUUAGGUGUACUGGUGACCACGAGUCACCGGGGUGCCGAAGGGAAACCGUGAAACGUGCCGCCUGGGAAGUACGGUCGCAAGGCUGAAACUUAUAGGAAUUGGCGGGGGAGCACCACAACGGGUGGAGCCUGCGGUUUAAUUGGACUCAACGCCGGAAAUCUCACCGGAUAGGACAGACAUAUGAUAGUCGGGCUGAAGACUCUACUUGAUGAUCUGAGAGGAGGUGCAUGGCGUCAGUGACU
RNAcentral lists this ribosomal RNA (261 nucleotides) under uncultured archaeon. RNAcentral describes it as "partial 16S ribosomal RNA". It matches the Rfam family "Archaeal small subunit ribosomal RNA", at positions 748 to 1008 of the family's 1478-position model. The record is from RNAcentral.